RNAcentral lists this ribosomal RNA (292 nucleotides) under uncultured bacterium. RNAcentral's name for it is "partial 16S ribosomal RNA". It matches the Rfam family "Bacterial small subunit ribosomal RNA", at positions 505 to 796 of the family's 1533-position model. The record is from RNAcentral.
GUGUCAGCAGCCGCGGUAAUACGGAGGGUGCAAGCGUUAUCCGGAUUCACUGGGUUUAAAGGGUGCGUAGGCGGGUUUGUAAGUCAGUGGUGAAAUCCCCGAGCUUAACUUGGGAACUGCCAUUGAUACUGCAGAUCUUGAAUUUUCUGGAGGUAAGCGGAAUAUGUCAUGUAGCGGUGAAAUGCUUAGAUAUGACAUAGAACACCCAUUGCGAAGGCAGCUUACUACGGGAAUAUUGACGCUGAGGCACGAAAGCGUGGGGAUCAAACAGGAUUAGAUACCCUGGUAGUCC